This 432-nucleotide ribosomal RNA is filed under the name uncultured bacterium. Its description in RNAcentral is "partial 16S ribosomal RNA". It matches the Rfam family "Bacterial small subunit ribosomal RNA", at positions 29 to 507 of the family's 1533-position model. The record is from RNAcentral.
ACGAACGCUGGCGGCAUGCCUAACCCCUGCCAGUCGAACGCGACCUUCGGGUCUAGUGGCGCACGGGUGCGUAACGCGUGGGAACCUGCCCUUAGGUUCGGAAUAACUCCCCGAAAGGGGUGCUAAUACCGGAUAAUGUCUUCGGACCAAAGAUUUAUCGCCUUUGGAUGGGCCCGCGUUGGAUUAGCUAGUUGGUAGGGUAAAAGCCUACCAAGGCGACGAUCCAUAGCUGGUCUGAGAGGAUGAUCAGCCACACUGGGACUGAGACACGGCCCAGACUCCUACGGGAGGCAGCAGUGGGGAAUAUUGGACAAUGGGCGAAAGCCUGAUCCAGCAAUGCCGCGUGAGUGAUGAAGGCCUUAGGGUUGUAAAGCUCUUUUACCCGGGAUGAUAAUGACAGUACCGGGAGAAUAAGCUCCGGCUAACUCCGUG